UCGACGCAAGGCUCUCGUAUUGAUGAAUUUAAUCGAAUCAACGCAAGGCUUAAGAGAAAACUCUUGUAUUAAUAACUUUCAAAAACUAACUAAUAAGAACUACAAGUCUAUGCCCUUAUAUAGAGACUUAAGGUCGGUUUAUAAAUCACCUUCCCUUUUAGAAAUAGGAAACUAAAUAACAAAAAGGAAAAACCCAAAACAUGUUAAGAAAAGGAAAUCUUAAACGUAUUUGAAACUGGUUGCUUGGCGGACAAGGUAUUAUGAUGCUGCAUCAGGUCCCCCGGGGUUAGAAAGAUUCGUCCCUGAAUCCGGCAGAGGUUCUGGGGGAACGUAGCGCGAUAAAUGGCGGACAUUGAAAACAUCAGAUGUGUUGAUGUGAGCUGGGAGUUGUAGACGAUAAGCGUUGUCGUUGAUUCGUUCAAGAACUUCAAGAGGACCAAUCUUCUUUGCUUUAAGUUUAUUAUAAGAAUGAGCCGGUAUUCGAUCUUUAGUGAGAAACGCCCAAACUUGAUCACCAACUUCAAAAACAACACGCCUGCGAUGAGCAUCGGCAGCAGUUUUAUAGUUUGUUGCUGAUGUCUGUAAGUUAGAGAUCACUCGCUGAUGGAUGGUAUGAAUAUCAUCGAUGAAGUCGGCAGCGACACCAUGACGUCGAGACUGAUCCGGUAAUGUACUAAGAUCAAUAGGGCUACGCGGACUCAUGCCGUACACCACCUGGAAAGGACUGUAACCAGAACUCCUAUUUAAAGCAUGAUUAUGGGCAAAUUCCGCUUGCGGAAUCUUGGCAUCCCAUGUACCAAUCGAAUCUCCCACAAGGCAACGCAACAAGUUGCCCAAAGAACGGUUAGUGACUUCAGUCUGACCAUCAGAUUGGGGAUGAUAAGCGGAACUCAUAUCCAAACUAGUACCAAGCAUUUUCCAUAAUGAACGCCAAAAGUGACCUAAGAACCGAGAGUCACGAUCGGAUACAAUAGAAGAGGGUAAACCAUGGAGGCGAUAGAUAUCCCGGAAGAAUAAAAUAGCCACUUGGAGAGCGUCGGUAGUCUUUUUACAUGGAAUAAAGUGAACCAUUUUGGAGAAACGGUCGACGACAACAAAUAUGGAAUCGAACCCGCGUUGAGUUCGUGGAAGUCCCAUAACAAAAUCCAUACUGAUAUCAGUCCAAGGUUGCGUAGGAAUAGGAAGAGGGAGAUAAAGGCCGGCAUUGGUGGCAUGACCUUUGGAACGCUGACACACAACACAUCGCUCAAUAAAUCUUUCAACAUCACGUCGUAGAGCUGGCCAGAAAUACGAACUGGUGAGGAGAUGCAAGGUUCUGUCACGACCAACAUGACCUUCCCCAUGCGUUUCAGAGAUGAGCUGUAGACGGAGGCUACAAUCGGGAACACACAAACGGACCCCGCGGAACAAGAAGCCAUCGUGGAGUGUGUAAUCGCGAGACUCGCCAGCUUGAACCUGAGCCAGUAUGCUUGCAAAGAAGGCAUCAGAGGGGUAGAGAUCAGCAAAAGUUCCGAACCCAGGGACAGACACAUGUAAUACCGAAAGAAGAGUCCGACGUCGACUCAAGGCAUCAGCGACACGGUUGGAAACGCCUGAAGUAUGUUUGAUAACAAACGUGAACUGUUGUAAAUAUGACACCCAAGAGGCAUGGCGAGCCGAAACCUUAUCUUGACUGCUAAGAUGUUUAAGUGCGUCAUGAUCGGUAAAGAGAACAAAUUCUUUAUGAAAAAGAUAAUGGCGCCAGUGUUUGAUAGCCUGGAUGAUUGCAUAGAACUCCACAUCAUAAGUGCUGUAUCGUGCUCUAGCUCCAAUGAGUUUUUCACUAAAAAAUGCAAUAGGGCGACCUCGUUGGCUUAGAACUGCGCCAAUACCAGAUUUAGAAGCAUCACAAUGCAAUUCAAAGACCUGCGAGAAGUUUGGUAAGGACAAGAUGGGCGCAGAGGUGAGCUUCUGUUUGAUGGCGUUGAAGGCGUCCGUGGCUUCAGGAGUCCAUGUGAAAGAGCCUUCUCGUCGCAUACAAUCCGUAAGUGGAGCCAUGAGACUACUAAAUUGAGGGACGAAACGUCGGUAGAAAGAAGCGAGGCCAUGAAAACUCCUUGUUUCAGUUAGAGUUGUAGGGAGGGGCCAAGAUUGAAUAGCUUCUACUUUAGCGGGAUCGACGGCGAGGCCGUUGGCAGAUACGAUAUACCCAAGAAAGUGGACCCGUGCUGACCCAAACUCACACUUUUUAAGUGUAGCGAACAGCUGAUCACGCCUCAGGACGAGUAGUACCUCGCGGAGGUGCGCAAGAUGGUCAGCAAGAUUCGAACUAAAUAUGAGUAUGUCGUCGAAAUAGACAACGACGAACUUGCCAAUAAAUGGUCGCAGGGCUUGAUUCAUAACCCGCAUAAACGUGCUUGGAGCAUUAGACAAACCAAAUGGCAUAACAAGCCAUUCAAAAAGACCUUCUCUCGUCUUAAAAGCCGUUUUCCAUUCAUCACCCGGCCUAAUACGGAUCUGAUGGUAACCACUUUUGAGAUCAAGUUUAGAGAAAAUAGAGGCCGAACCAAUUUGAUCCAGUAGGUCGUCGAGGCGCGGUAUAGGGAACCGGUAACGGACAGUAAUUUUGUUAAUAGCACGGCUAUCAACACACAUACGCCAUGACCCAUCCUUUUUUGGUAUAAGUAAAGCCGGAACGGCGCAGGGGCUUAAGCUCUCCCGGAGAAACCCUUUUGUCACUAGUUCUUCAACUUGUCUUCGUAAUUCUUCGUGCUCACUAGGACUCAUACGGUAAUGAGCUCGAUUAGGAAGAACUGCAUCAGGGACCAAAUCUAUGCGAUGCUGAAUAUCGCGGAGAGGUGGUAGCCCAAUUGGUAAGUCAUCGGGAAAAACAUCACUGAAAUCUUGUAGUAGAGGUUCAAACUCGCAAGGUACAUGUGGCAUGGACGGAGAAGUCGUGGGGUGAAGAAGAAAAACGAUUCCCUCUUCACGCAUAGCUGCCUCAAAUGGUUUCCGCUGGAGAAUGAGUAUUGGUGACGACUGGGGAGAUGAUUUUGUUGGUUCCGAAGGCUGAAGUGUGUAGUUGCGGUUGUUAAAACGAAAUGUGUAGGUGUUGAGGAAGCCAUCAUGUUGGAUGCGCCGAUCGAAAAUCCAGGGACGUCCUAAGAGAAGAUGGCAAGCAUCCAUGGGAGCAACGUCACAAUGAAUUUGGUCUUUGUAUGAUUCUCCAACCGAAAAAGAGAUCAAAGCACGACGAGUGAUGAGUAAGUCAGUCUUCUGGUCUAGCCAUGCUAAUUUAUAAGGAUAAGGGUGAAGUUCUGUUUGUAACUGCAGUUUGUUCACCACUUCCUCUGCGAUGACGUUUUCACUACUACCCGAGUCUAUGAUGAAGUUACAAACUUUGCCUCCAAUGGUACAUUUUGAGUGGAACAGAUUAUGUCUUUGAGGGUUGAUGUCGGCACUAUGAGGGGCUAGGCAGACGCGGCGUACCAUUAAGCAUGGUCCACUAUCCGCCGUAAGAAUCUCAGGUUCCUCCAUAGGAUCAACAGGUUCUUCGUCAUAAACCACUUCGACAUCGUUACCAGCAGUAUCCAAAAGGAGUCCACGUCGAUUACGAGUUGGACAAUUAGACUGACGAUGGCCAAUUUCUCCGCAAGAGAAACACCGAAGGGAGCUCGGACGAUUGGUGCGAUUGUCGAUGACUGGUACAAUAGCAGUAUCGGUCUUUGCAGGGGUGGCGUCAUCUGUAGGGGAUUGAGUUUGUUGUGUAGGGCGAGUAGGCCGUGCAUUUGUCCAUGAUGAAAACGAUGACUUAGUCUGAGUCUCGAUAGUCAAAGCUUGUUGGUGUGCUUCGGACAACGUAAGCGGGUGAAAAAGAUUGAGAGUGUGUUGAAUUUGUUGACGAAGGCCUGCUGUGAAGCGUGCUACAAGUUGACGCUCCGAGUCUUGAAUGUCAACACGGGUGAGGAGUAGAAAGAACUCCGUAGAAUAUUCAGCGACGGAACGAGUCCCUUGUCUCAGGGUGUGGAGAUGCUGGAACAUGAGCUGAUCGUAAUUGUACGGUAAGAAUGUUUUCUUGAGUUUUGACUUGAGCUUUUCCCAAGAUAAAAUUUUAGGUUUUCCAAGACGAGCUCGGGCUGUCUUUGUUUGCGUCCACCAUGCUGCGGCACGUCCACGAAAGCGCAUGGUUAGGAGAGGAACACAACGUUCCAAUGGGGCUCUUUUAAACUCGAGAAUUUCCUCAACCGUGACUAUCCAGUCAAGUAGUUCUUCGGCUGAAGUAUUUCCAUGGAACUCGGGAAUCUCGGUUUUGAAUCCUGUUGUCCACUGAUUAUCGGCUGCUGCCACUUGAACAUUGUCUUGAGCGAUAGCUCGGUUGUUGCGAAGAGGAGCAAAAGGAUUAGCAUCAACCGCGGCGGCGAACGGGUCUGCGGCGUCGUCUUCAUCUUCUUCCUCAUCGUCAUCACGUUCAACGUUUUCGCGAGGUGGAGGUGGUGGUGGUCGUUGAACAUUAAGGGCUUGGAGGGCGGUGGUGAUAUUGGCCAUCUGGGCUUGAAGCUCAGCAAUGGCGUCGCGGGUGAUUUCUGCCUCGGUACGUAAUGGUGCUCUACGAGUUCGUGCCAUCAGAUAUGAUCAACAAGGAACGUAGCAAAGCUCUGAUACCAACCUGGCGCAGCGUAUCAACGGUAACUCAGCUCAAAUCUAGGGAUUUAGGUUAAAUCUCUAGAGACCUGACUUCUUGAAUCGAUGAAUUGAAUCAAAUCGACGCAAGGCUCUCGUAUUGAUGAAUUUAAUCGAAUCAACGCAAGGCUUAAGAGAAAACUCUUGUAUUAAUAACUUUCAAAAACUAACUAAUAAGAACUACAAGUCUAUGCCCUUAUAUAGAGACUUAAGGUCGGUUUAUAAAUCACCUUCCCUUUUAGAAAUAGGAAACUAAAUAACAAAAAGGAAAAACCCAAAACAUGUUAAGAAAAGGAAAUCUUAAACGUAUUUGAAACUGGUUGCUUGGCGGACAAGGUAUUAUGAUGCUGCAUCAGGUCCCCCGGGGUUAGAAAGAUUCGUCCCUGAAUCCGGCAGAGGUUCUGGGGGAACGUAGCGCGAUAAAUGGCGGACAU
RNAcentral lists this long non-coding RNA (5093 nucleotides) under Brassica napus (rape). Its description in RNAcentral is "long non-coding RNA (BNAP_LNC006987)". Lineage: Eukaryota; Viridiplantae; Streptophyta; Magnoliopsida; Brassicales; Brassicaceae. The record is from RNAcentral.